CAGUAACACCAUAACAGAAUAUCUCAUAUCAUAGCAGCACAAACGCUAAUUUCACCUGCACAAAUCAGCACAAACGUAGCACUAAAAAAGUAGGCCAUUUUGGCCCGUUUUGGAGCAGUCUGGGGGGAUGGUGACCUUUGAAUGACCUAUAAAAUAAUGUUUAAUAUCUCAAAAACCGUAGCAGCACAAACGCUAAUUUUAACUGCACGAAUCUGCACAAACGUAGCACUAACCGCUCCGCCUUUACGUUUCAAGUGGGUGGGGGGUCAGCUUCACUCUGUUUUUAUAGGUGAUCCUCACUUGUGUGCACGUGCAUGUAGGUGAACGCUCACGGCAUGACGUCACACAGCUCAGUUCCUUUCUGCUUUGAUCUUGCAGCACGUGACCUCCACUCGAGUCCUCAAAUAGGGGUGAAACGUAUCACUAAACAAUUUUCAAAGCUAUCUUUAACUAAGACAGAGCAAAGAGACACAUAUUGAAAAAUAAUGACCAAUCAAACAGGUAGGAGUGGUCCGGGAAUCCCAAUAGACAAGGAAGAAAACAGAGAAAUAUACAGAGUUAGGUUGGAAAACUGUAUGGAAAACCAAGUUAGGCGAGUGGUAAAAAAAUCAGGCGAAGUCAUCAGUGAGGAAAAAGUCGAAGCCAUUUACAAGAGGCUUACCAAUAAAAUCUGGGCUGAAGUCGAGGAUCAAUUUGAUGAGAUUCUUAUAGUGGACUUCAACAAGCUCUACAACAUGAUUUUCAAAGCCCUGUGUGAAAAGUGGAAAAGUGCAGAAACAGUGCUGCUAAUAAUGAAAUUAAAUCUUCCACUUAUUGACAACACAAUUGUGGUAACCUUUAUAGAAGAGGCAGCCAAACUAAUGAUAAGAAAUCAAAGAAACGCAUAUUCAAAAACAACAGAAACCAACACAGGCAGGAGUGAUCCAGGAAUUCCAAUAGACAAGAAAGAAAGCAGCAGAAAUGACAGAUUUAGGUUGGAAAAGUGUAUGGCAGUCCUGGUUAAGCGAUUGGUUAGAAAAUCAGGUGGAGUCAUCAGUUUGGAAGAAGUUAAAGCCAUCUGCAAGAGGCUUACCAGCAAAAUCUGGGCUGAAAUGGAGGAUCAACUUCAUGUAAAUCUCUUAAUAGAGUCUGACAGGCUCCCAGAGAUGAUUUUCAACGGCCUUUGUAAAAAAUGGCAAAGUGCAGAAAUAGUGCUGCUAAUGAUGAAAUUAAAUCUCCCACUAAUUGACAACAUAAUUGUUGUAACUUUGAUAGAAGAGGCAGCCAAACUAACAAAGAGAGAGCAAAGAAGUGCAUAUUCAAAAACAAUAGCAGCAAACACAGGUAGGAGUGAUUCAGCUUUUAUUUCAGAGCCUAAAGAAAAUGUAAUGCCCGGAAAUGUGACAAAUACAGAAGAAAAAAGUCAUAAUCAUACUUGUAACGCUUGUAUUGACAGGAAAAACAUUUCAAUACAAAAUCAGAAAACAACAGAAACCGAAGAAACUGGAACUCCAAUAGAAGAGAAAAAACAGAGAGAGAAAAAGAGAUUAUAUUUGGAAAUGGGUAUGCAAUUCCUGGUUAGGCGAUUGGUUAGAAAAUCAGGUGAAGUCAUCAGUUUGCAAGAAGUUAAAGCCAUCUCCAUGAGGCUUACCAGCAAAAUCUGGGCUGAAAUGGAGGAUCAACUUCAUGUAAAUCUCUUAAUACAGUCUCACAGGCCCUUAAAGAUGAUUUGCAACGCCCUUUGUAAAAAGUGGCAAAGUGCAGAAACAGUGCUGCUAAUGAUGAAAUUAAAUCUCCCACUCAUCGACAACAUAAUUUUUGUAACUCUCAUAGAGGAAGCAGCCAAACUAUCCAAGAGACCAAGUCGCAUAAGUCGAUUUUUCUCAUUUGUAGGUCGACUUUUUUCCUCCUGUCUGUGCUGCAUGCAGAGUUCCAACACAGCUGACUGCGGUGUGGAACAACAAAUCAUUGUGUUUCAGAGCCUGAAAGAGGCUGAAAACAAGCCUGAAAACGAGAAAAGAAAUAGUAGUCAUGCGACUGUGUGUUCUUUCUGUAACUUUAAGAACUGUAACUGCUCUUUCAACGUUAAUGUCAAAUUGAGCAUCCCGAAACUAUUCAGUUUAGUGUAAUGCAGAGAAAGAGCUGCUGCUUUAAAGGCAGUACUGAUGACUAAAUUGUCAUCUUGAUUUUUUUUUCAAAUACCUCUUUUAAAAUCUUAAAGCAGUCUGGCCUCAGAGUUAACAUCAGAGGUAUAUUUUAUUUUAAAACUAUUUCAUUCGACUUUAAUUAGACUGAGAAAUAUUCUUCACCGUGUCUCUUCGUAUUAUCGUUACCAUCACCCCCCAACGGCCGAGGCAGACGGCCGUCCCUUCUGAGCCUGGUUCUGCCGGAGGUUUCUGCCUGUUACAGGUAGUUUUUCCUCCCCACUGUCGCCAAGUGCUUGCUCAUAAGGGAUUAUUCAUUAAUUGGGGUUUUCUUGCUGCUACUGUAGGGUCUCUAUCUUACAGUAUAAAGCAACUUGAGGAGACGGUUGUGAUUUGAUGCUAUAUUAAACAUCUUAAAUUCAACUGAAUCUUAAAAUGUAAUAUAGCAUCACAUCACCAUCAAAUCAAGAACUGAAAAAUAUAAAACAAAAUGAAAAUAAAAACCUAAAUUAAAAGCAGUUUGUGAUUUGUCUUGUGCUUUCAAAAUAUAUUGUCAAAUAUGAAAAGCUGCAUUUCUAUGCUCUGGUCAUUAGUACUGGUAUUUUAACCCUGGAGAACAAAUGGGGUCAGAUCCGACCCCAUUGGUUUUCUAGGGAACCCAUGGGGUCAAAUUUGACCCCAUGGGUUCUCCAGGGUUAAUGUAAGCAAACACAGGGAGCAUACACCGAUGUGGAAGUACUACAGAUGAAGAUGCAAAGAAACCAUGAAAUAAUUAAUGAAAUAGUGAAGUUUAUGAAUAAAAUAAACAACUGUAGCACCGUCUCAGUCUCGUCGAAUCGCCCCUCUGCCUCUUCUACUCUAGCAUCAACUCUUCUUAACCCUCGUCUAAUAUGCGCAUAUUGUUUGUUGUUGUCUUUCCUAAAGUCACGAAGCUCUUUCGGGAUGUUCAGGAGGCUGGGCUCGUCUGCAUCCGUGCCCUCUGUGGCUAACCUUAGCUCAGGAGAGUAGCUCCUAUCCACGUGGCUUUUCUCUGUCUCCUCUUCUGUCUGAGUUGUGCCUCUCAAACUUCUUGUGACUACCCCCGUUUCCAUAUUUAAAAGCAAUCUCACCUAUUAUCAGAAAGAUUACCGUAUCUUAUUGUAAGAGAAAUUUCUCCUACGUGUUUGGAGUCUCUACAGUAAGCAAAUGUGGUAAAGGGUGUGGCUGAUUCUGGGAUUGAUGCAGGAGGGCGACAGAAAUAAAAAGUAAAAUAUUAAAUUUUUGCUGUUAUUGACUUUGCUUUACAAUAUCAAACACUGAGCCAGAUGCACAAUAGUCAUGUACAUCACACGUAAACACAUUAAUGUAAAAAACACAGAGGUUAGGCCAUCAAAGUGUGUGUAAAAGAAGUGUUUAUGUCUGUCUUGCAGUUUCUGUUCCUGUCCGAGGUUUGCAGUGGAGAGCUCAGACCACACAGGACCCCGUCCUCUCCAAACCCUGCUCAGCUCUCUGGUACCAGCACACCCACGCACAACUGGCCACCUUAAAAAAUUGUACAGUUUUGAGCUCGAUAACCUGCAGGUGAAAAAUCUGUAGAUCAGUCAUCGCUCCUCUGUGGUGUUAAGAUGCUGAAUACAAGGGGAAUAAAAGUGGAUUAUAAUCGAUACCAAAACGGAUCUUUAUCCAUGGAAUCAGUAGCAUAAAAUCAGGAAUUUCAGGCUUCAUUAUCAUGGUUAAUUUAAGAAAAUAAAUAAAAAUAGGUGUGACCAUAUUUGACGAUUAUGAGCUAAUUCAAGCAAGUAGAAAACUGAAUAAUAAUUAUCCAUAACUGUGGAUGAACUGACCGUUAGAUGAACUGCAGUCUUUGUCCUUUGAGUGUGGCAGGUGGCUUCUUGAUGGCUCACACCGUUCCCCUCUCUCACCUCCUGCAGGGGGCAGUGUCCAGCUCUCUCACCUGUCUGCAGACGGCGGAGGGAGUGGCAGCUCUGCUGAUGGAGAGAGGCGGUGUGCAGGAAGGAGAUCACGUCGCUCUGGUGUACCCGCCAGGUAUAGACCUGAUCGCAGCCCUUUACGGCUGCCUGUACGCCGGCUGCGUUCCCAUCACAGUGCGACCGCCUCACCCUCAGAACAUCUCCACCACCCUGCCCACUGUUAAGAUGAUUGUCGAGGUGAGUCACUCGGCGUGUGUGAUGAUGACCACCGCCGUCAUCUGUAAGCUGCUGCGCUCCAAAGAGGCCAUGGCCACGAUGGACAUCAGGAACUGGCCCCCAGUCCUGGACACCGUCCCCAGUGUUUCCUGCUCCUUGGAGCACUCCUGGUUGUCUGCUAUGGUGGAGGUGGCCAAUGUCUGGAGACAAAUCGCUGUUCUGGGGAGCUGCUUUCCUCCACUUACUUUACAUCAGAGUAGAAAGCAUGGAAACAACCCUGAUGGAAAACAGAAACAGCAUCCAGGAAGUGGAAUAAAGAUUAAGCAGCCAAAUUCUAGCUCUGGUUCGAUGCUUACAUUUGGAGGACUCUAGACCACAAACUGAGAGAAACUCUGUGAAGAUGCAGAAACACAUCAAGUUUUGCAAACAAGCAUACUAUUUUUAUAGUUAACUAAACUUCUAGUUUAUUAGAGUUGAGUUCCUACUCGCAGACAACUGAAACAUUCACAUUUGGAAAGCUGACUGAAUAAAUUUUCGUUUGAUUAAUCUAAAGUUGUUCUUCUGUGUCUGAAAACACCCACUCCCACUUACUCAACCUGUGUUGUCGUCUGCUGCUGUGGCCUACAGUAGCAGAAGACAACACUGCAACUGUAACCAAACUGAUUACAGCAUUAUUUAAAAACCUUUAGUGAACUCAACGUUCAAGAUUUUUCAAGGAUCCACAGAAACUUUGAUUGUGUGCUAAAAAUGCUAGUAAAGCUGACAUCCAUCACGAACAACCCACAUCCUCCUCUGCAUGAGUCUGUGAGUGUGCUGAGCAGUUCCUCAUCAGAGACCAAAACAUCCUCACUGCAGGAAGGAGCGCUUUCACAGAUCAUUGAUCCCAACAGCAGUUAGACUAUAACUCCUCAAUCACGUUGUCAUGAGUCACUGGACAUUUACCUGGUGUGCACGUAUAUGUGUAUGUAUAUGUAUACAUGUGUAUAUUCAGUGUGUGUAUGUGUGUGUGUGUGUGUGUGUGUGUGCGCGUGUACAUGUCUAUACUUCUAGAUACUUUUAGAUAUCUAUUGCUUAAAUAGUAAUGAUACAAUAGUUAAAUUUAUUUCUUGCAUUUCCACAACACUCUAUCCAUAGUCACAUACUGUGUAUGCUACUGUUGUAUAUAGUGUACUAUCUUAUUUAUUUUGUGGUUGUUUAUAUUUUAGUCCUAUUUUCGUAUUUUCUGUAACCAUGGUUACGGGAGUUUGUUGCAAGAAGUGUUGUGAAUCUCGCUGAGACAGGGAACCACUGAGGAGCCUCAGAUUAACCAAUCAGUCAGAUCGCUGUCUCCACUUGGGUGGCUGUAGCUCAGGUGGUCAGCCACUACUCAGAAGGUUGGUGGUUCGAUCCCAGGCUGCCUCCUGGCUGCAUGCCAAAUAACCUUGGGCAAGAUACUAACCCAGGGGUCUGCAACCUUUUACACCCAAAGAGCCAUUUGACCCGGUUUCCACGCAAAAGAAAACACUGGGAGCCGCAAAUACUUUUUGACAUCUAAAAUGAAGAUAACACUGUAUAUAUUGUUUUUUACCUUUAUGCUUUGUGUGAACAACUCAGGUGUGUUGCUUAUGAAAAAUGAAGUGCUACAGAGAAAAUGUAAUUAUAUUUAUGUAAUCAACACAUUUUGAACUCUUAAAGAAAUAUAACAAAAGGAAAGACACCAACCUGAACUAAAAUGAUCCAGCAAACAAAAACUGUUGUCAGCCGCCACCCUUAUAUCGCCUUUGGGCUUUUGGAGCCUUGACCUGACUCUUAAAAAAUAAUUAGAAAAAAGCUCUAUGCUGCUAAAAGAUGAAAAAUAGAUUCUGCCUAAAUAUGUAUUUUACCUGGUUAAUGUGUGUGGCGGGGUGUGGUUUGCAGCGCCGCUGCAGGGGAGUCGAACGCACCUGAGCAGCACCCGCAAUCCUGCCUUUCCGCCUUAAAGUCUGUGCUCUCUCUGCUGUUGUGUUGUCGGGCUGUGAGCUGAAAAGCUACAGCCGGCUGUAUGUGUAGCCGCUAAACUGGUGACCUAAAUCUUCGCCACCACGUCUAUAUACAUACAAGCAUAAGGGGAGAGAGUGAAUCAGCGCUGGGAGUACGGACACUGGGCCGGCUUUAAACACACCAUUUAUUUUUUUAGAAGAACAGCCAGAAUCACAAGUAGGAGUUAAAAUCCCCACUAUACAAUAAAAAAAUAAAUGUUCCCAACCCACUAAAAAGCCCUGCCGGCAGAGAUUAAAAUACAAUUAAAAAAAUCAAAGCUAAAUGAAUGUCCUUUUUAUACGAUAAAACUUCCCCCCCAGAGUCCUCUAUUCCCAGUGUCCAACCACACACACUCGGGCAAAUGUUCCUUAGCUGAAAGACGCAGAAGGGGAGCUCCUCUUCCGGGAUGGGGAAAUCUCGCCAGCAGAAGGCCAG
This is a long non-coding RNA of Oreochromis aureus, 6682 nucleotides long. NCBI's taxonomy places the organism in Eukaryota, Metazoa, Chordata, Actinopteri, Cichliformes, Cichlidae. The record is from Ensembl.